UGGCGAACGGGUGAGUAACACGUGAGUAACCUGCCCUUGACUUUGGGAUAACUUCAGGAAACUGGGGCUAAUACCGGAUAGGAGCUCCUGCUGCAUGGUGGGGGUUGGAAAGUUUCGGCGGUUGAGGAUGGACUCGCGGCUUAUCAGCUUGUUGGUGGGGUAGUGGCUUACCAAGGCUUUGACGGGUAGCCGGCCUGAGAGGGUGACCGGCCACAUUGGGACUGAGAUACGGCCCAU
Molecule: ribosomal RNA, 237 nt
Filed under: uncultured Actinomycetales bacterium
Lineage: Bacteria; Bacillati; Actinomycetota; Actinomycetes; Actinomycetales
Description: partial 16S ribosomal RNA
Rfam family: Bacterial small subunit ribosomal RNA
Source: RNAcentral